AGAGUUUGAUCAUGGCUCAGGAUGAACGCUAGCGGCAGGCUUAAUACAUGCAAGUCGAGGGGCAGCAUGGUGUAGCAAUACACUGAUGGCGACCGGCAAACGGGUGCGGAACACGUACAGAACCUUCCUUCGAGCGGGGAAUAGCCCAGAGAAAUUUGGAUUAAUACCCCAUAGUAUUACGGAGUGGCAUCACUUUGUAAUUAAAGAUUUAUCACUUGAAGAUGGCUGUGCGGCUGAUUAGGUAGUUGGCGGGGUAAUGGCCCACCAAGCCUGCGAUCAGUAACUGGUGUGAGAGCACGACCAGUCACACGGGCACUGAGACACGGGCCCGACUCCUACGGGAGGCAGCAGUAAGGAAUAUUGGUCAAUGGACGAAAGUCUGAACCAGCCAUGCCGCGUGGAGGAUGAAGGUCCUCUGGAUUGUAAACUUCUUUUAUAUGGGACGAAAAAAGGCCUUUCUAGGUCGUCUGACGGUACCAUAUGAAUAAGCACCGGCUAACUCCGUGCCAGCAGCCGCGGUAAUACGUAGGUGACGAGCGUUAUCCGGAAUUACUGGGCGUAAAGCGCACGCAGGCGGCGCGUUAAGUCUGACGUGAAAUCUCUCGGCUUAACCGGGAGGGGUCGUUGGAGACUGGCGGGCUUGAGGCGAUGAGAGGGGUGUAGAAUUCCCGGUGUAGUGGUGGAAUGCGUAGAUAUCGGGAGGAAUACCAGUGGCGAAAGCGGCACCCUGGCAUUAGCCUGACGCUCAGGUGCGAAGGCGUGGGGAGCGAACGGGAUUAGAUACCCCGGUAGU
This 793-nucleotide ribosomal RNA is filed under the name uncultured bacterium. Its description in RNAcentral is "bacterial SSU rRNA". It matches the Rfam family "Bacterial small subunit ribosomal RNA", at positions 8 to 794 of the family's 1533-position model. The record is from RNAcentral.